ACAGAGGUGGUGAAUGAUCGAAUUGUUGAGGAUGAGAAGGGGCAGGAGGGCGGUAGGGUCCUCAGAGUUGGUCUAAUAUGUGGAGGACCCUCAGCAGAGCGUGGGAUUUCUCUAAACUCUGCUAGAUCAGUUCUUGAUCACAUUCAGGGAGAAGAUUUGCACGUAAGCUGCUACUACAUAGACUAUGAACUCAAUGCCUAUGCUAUAUCCUCCGCUCAGGUAUACUCAAAUACUCCAGCAGAUUUUGAUUUUAAACUUGAAAGCCUUGCCCAAGGUUUUUCAUCUCUGUCUGAAUUUGCAGAACAUCUUGCUGCCUCUGUGGACAUAGUAUUCCCUGUAAUUCAUGGUCGAUUUGGUGAAGAUGGUGAGAUCG
RNAcentral lists this unclassified non-coding RNA (373 nucleotides) under Hevea brasiliensis (rubber tree). The record is from RNAcentral. Lineage: Eukaryota; Viridiplantae; Streptophyta; Magnoliopsida; Malpighiales; Euphorbiaceae.